RNAcentral lists this RNase P RNA (343 nucleotides) under pig gut metagenome. RNAcentral describes it as "Bacterial RNase P class A". It matches the Rfam family "Bacterial RNase P class A". From Rfam's summary of the family: Ribonuclease P (RNase P) is a ubiquitous endoribonuclease, found in archaea, bacteria and eukarya as well as chloroplasts and mitochondria. The record is from RNAcentral.
AAAUAAUCGCGGCCUCGCGUAAGCGGGGGUGAGGAAAGUCCGGGCUUCAUAGGGCAGGAUGCCGGAUAACGUCCGGUGGAGGUGACUCCAAGGCCAGUGCAACAGAAAUAAACCGCCUGUUUUUCAGGUAAGGGUGGAAAGGCAGUGUAAGAGACUACCACCUCCGAGGUAACGAGGAGGGUAUAUGUAAACCCCAUUCGAAGCAAGACCAAGCAGAGAACGUAAAGCUUGCCCGGCCAGUUCUCAGGUGGGUCGCUUGAGGCUAUUGGUAACAGUAGUCCUAGAUAGAUGAUUAUUCGUGGUAGCAAUACCGCUGACAUAACCCGGCUUAUCGUCGCGCUUG